RNAcentral lists this unclassified non-coding RNA (329 nucleotides) under Hevea brasiliensis (rubber tree). Lineage: Eukaryota; Viridiplantae; Streptophyta; Magnoliopsida; Malpighiales; Euphorbiaceae. The record is from RNAcentral.
CUCAGAGGCAUACACGAAUAUGCCUUACCAACAAGGGUCGUGAUGGAGUGAUAAAUACCCCUUUACUACCAAUCAAAGGUGUCGAAUUCGAGCUCUGUUAUGUACAGAGUGCGGGAAUCUGUAUUUAGUCAGGCCUCAAUGCGGUACAGGACACCAAAAAAACAAACAAUACAAGAUGGUGUCUUGAAUAGACAGUGAAUAAACUGGUCCUGGCAAAGAGCAGGAUCAGAUUAAUUUUGAAUUUUCAACCAUUUUGGAGAAUCGCCAUCCCUGUGCAAGCAAGAAAAAAGAAAUUGCACGCUCCCUACGCAGGAAUUAUCCCGUUCAGG